ACUUAUUGAAGAAUCAUUUCCUUGAAGAACACAGUCCAGCUGCUCCAGGAAUAGCGCAAAAAAAUCCUCAAAGGUAAAGUCAGCAUAACCCAAACUCUGAAGCGUUUUCCUACAUUCUUCCACCUUCGCUUUAAUUUGAUCAACUUCUGCCCGAUCCUGUGUCUCCAAAAUGUGCUCGAGGUAUGAAAACAUAAAGCUUCGAAAGAAGCAAUUGCCAUCUCCGCGCGUUCGCCUAAUAGCAACAUACUGGUCGCCAAGGACCUUUAUCUUCUCGAGCAAAAUAGGGCUCCCUGAUUCAUAUUCAGCGGCUAACGCAGAAAGAGGCUCCUUGUCACCGAGAAAAGGAAUUUUAUCGGCUUCAGCGGAGCGAAUUGCAGAGUGUUGUUGCAUAAUAUCAUCGUCCCCAAAACUUGCCCAAUCUUCAAAUUCAGAAGCUGUUUGGCCAUCCGCUAAUUGCCCCUCCUGAUUCUGAUUCUGAUUCUGCAUCUCUCUGUCUCUCCUGAAGAUCAAAAGUGGUGAGCUGCUCUCCGCCUGAUCUUUUCCCCUCUUUUAGUAUUUUAAUUUUUUUUUAAAACCUUUAGCGCUUGCAAAU
This 592-nucleotide unclassified non-coding RNA is filed under the name Hevea brasiliensis (rubber tree). The record is from RNAcentral. Lineage: Eukaryota; Viridiplantae; Streptophyta; Magnoliopsida; Malpighiales; Euphorbiaceae.